GUCCACGCCCUAAACGAUGUAUGCUUGGUGUUGGGUCCGCAAGGACUCAGUGCCGUAGGAAAUCUGAUAAGCAUACCACCUGGGGAGUACGAUCGCAAGGUUGAAACUCAAAGGAAUUGACGGGGGCCCGCACAAGCGGUGGAUCAUGUGGUUUAAUUCGAUGCAACGCGAAGAACCUUACCCGGGCUUGAAGUGUAGGUAGUAAAGAGAUGAAAGUCGAAUGACCCGUUAAGUCGGAUGCCUACAGAGGUGCUGCAUGGCUGUCGU
This 267-nucleotide ribosomal RNA is filed under the name uncultured bacterium. RNAcentral describes it as "partial 16S ribosomal RNA". It matches the Rfam family "Bacterial small subunit ribosomal RNA", at positions 793 to 1055 of the family's 1533-position model. The record is from RNAcentral.